Molecule: ribosomal RNA, 234 nt
Filed under: Triticum aestivum (bread wheat)
Lineage: Eukaryota; Viridiplantae; Streptophyta; Magnoliopsida; Poales; Poaceae
Description: partial small subunit ribosomal RNA
Source: RNAcentral
GGGGGCUGAUUAGGCAUCUUCUGAAAGAAGCCGAUGGAGAAGAGCGACAGCGACAGCUGGACCUGGUCUCGGCCCAGCCUGGCAGGAGGCUGCUGCCGCCUUCCCCUUCCCUGAGCAGGCGCAGCAGGAACACCGGCACGGCGCCGCUGGAUGGGCCGGAUGGAGACGGCGUGCAGGCGGCGGAAGCCGCCGAGCGAGAGCACGACGGCGCGGAGCUGCUGCUCGGAGAAGCCA